Molecule: ribosomal RNA, 292 nt
Filed under: uncultured bacterium
Lineage: Bacteria
Description: partial 16S ribosomal RNA
Rfam family: Bacterial small subunit ribosomal RNA
Source: RNAcentral
GUGCCAGCCGCCGCGGUAAGACGAAGGGGGCUAGCGUUGUUCGGAAUUACUGGGCGUAAAGCGAGUGUAGGUGGUUGUCGUAGUCAGGCGUGAAAGCCUUGAGCUCAACUCAAGAAAUGCGCUUGAUACUGGGCAGCUAGAGGACCGGAGAGGAUAGUGGAAUUCCCAGUGUAGUGGUGAAAUACGUAGAGAUUGGGAAGAACACCAGUGGCGAAGGCGGCUAUCUGGACGGUUUCUGACACUAAGACUCGAAAGCGUGGGGAGCAAACAGGAUUAGAUACCCCGGUAGUCC